Molecule: ribosomal RNA, 468 nt
Filed under: uncultured bacterium
Lineage: Bacteria
Description: partial 16S ribosomal RNA
Rfam family: Bacterial small subunit ribosomal RNA
Source: RNAcentral
GAUGAACGCUGGCGGCGUGCUUAACACAUGCAAGUCGAACGGACAGGCCCUGCUUUUGUGGGGCGCUCGAGUGGCGAACGCGUGAGUCACACGCGAGUAACCUGCCCUUGACUGUGGGAUAACUUCAGGUAACUGGGGCUCAUACCGGAUAGGAGCUCCUGCUGCAUGGUGGUGGUUGGAAAGUUUCGGCGGUUGGGGAUGGUCUCGCGGCUUAUCAGCUUGUUGGUGGAGUAGUGGCUUACCAAGGCUUUGACGGGUAGCCGGCCUGAGAGGGUGACCGGCCACAUUGGGACUGAGAUACGGCCCAGACUCCUACGGGAGGCAGCAGUGGGGAAGAUUGCACAAUGGGGGGAAGCCUGAUGCAGCAACGCCGCGUGCGGGAUGAUGGCCUUCUGGUGAAAAACCGCUUUCGCCGGUGACGAAGCGUGAGUGACGGUAAUGGGUAAAGAAGCACCGGCUAACUACGUG